GUAAAUAAUAAUUAUCAUAAUCUUUUGAUUGUGGAAUUGGGCCUUUAUUUCAUUAAUGAUUUAUGGCCUCAAAUUUACGUUACCGCUUGUUUAAUAUGAAAUUCGACCGAAUGGAGCAAUUAAACAUUCUCUCGUUAGGCGGAUUCAUCAAGCAAUUACGAUUUUUUGGCCGUCGAAGCACUUUUUUUUAGAAGUGCUUGGUCGAGAUUGUAAGAUACAUUUAA
This 224-nucleotide unclassified non-coding RNA is filed under the name uncultured Entrophospora. Its description in RNAcentral is "uncultured Claroideoglomus partial internal transcribed spacer 2". Lineage: Eukaryota; Fungi; Glomeromycota; Glomeromycetes; Entrophosporales; Entrophosporaceae. The record is from RNAcentral.